UCAUGGUCCAGAACGUGGUUAAGGGAAUCAGGUAGCGGGAACUUAACCAAAAUAAGGCAGAGGCAAGCUCAAAGGAUCUGGACAAGCGAGCUGGUAGCUGGACGAGAUCCGGGUGAAGCUCGAUGAAGUGAGUGAUCAGAAUGGAUCAUGGGAAAACUAAGUCUAGUUCUGGAAAUAGACCAAGGGACUUAAAAGGAUUGAAGAAUAUAAAGGAAGCAAGCUGGAGACAGUGUAUAACAGUUGGGCAAUGCAGUAAGCAAGCUCGACCAGCUAGGUGAAGUGUAGUGCAGCUCGGUGUAGCUCACUGAAGUGUAGGUCAGCUCCCUGAGCUGGAUGGUCUAGCUCACUCAGCUGGAUCAGCUGGGGAUCAGCUCAACUCAGCUGGACUGAGUGUUCUGGUCUCGGGCAGUUGGGCCGGGUCUGGACAGUGGCCGGGCCAUGUGGGUGACCCGUGUGUGCCGAUGGGGUGGUGGGCUCUUGGGAUUGAGCCAGGGGCAUGGGCAGUCCGUGUGGGAUUGUUUUGGACAUGUCCAGGAGUGGUUUGGCAGUUACCAGAACGUCUGGUAACUGCCAUUGGCGAAAGGGUGCAAUUUGUACCAUUGAUUAAAUCAAUGGCCAGAAUUGAUACCGAAGGGAUGCAAUGGUUAAGAUGUAACCACCCCUUCUUCUAUAAAAGGCAGGCAAGUCCGUGCCUUCUCAGGCAUGCCAGGGAUUCCUCCUAAAUCCUGAAACAUAAAGAAAACCAGAGAAAAACAGAGAUAUGGUCGGAUUGAAUUAUCCAAUACCAAGAGGCAUUCAAAGGCAUCAAAGAGGCAGUUUUGGAGGGCAAUCAAGAGGGAAGUUGAGAACGACCCUCUGGUGAGUUUUGAUUAUUGUUUGCUACGCCCUGUUCUUCCUCUAUAUCCAUAUAUCACACGCAAAUAGCCUGGAGAGAAGAUAGGAGGCCGGAUCCCACUUCCAAUGGUUGAGACAGCCUCAACGGCAGAUGUGUGUAGAAAGGCAGUUUCAUGGG
Molecule: long non-coding RNA, 1012 nt
Organism: Brassica rapa (field mustard)
Lineage: Eukaryota; Viridiplantae; Streptophyta; Magnoliopsida; Brassicales; Brassicaceae
Source: RefSeq, a predicted model, not a curated record